Molecule: ribosomal RNA, 301 nt
Filed under: uncultured bacterium
Lineage: Bacteria
Description: partial 16S ribosomal RNA
Rfam family: Bacterial small subunit ribosomal RNA
Source: RNAcentral
CAGCCGCCGCGGUAAUACGGAGGGUGCAAGCGUUAAUCGGAAUUACUGGGCGUAAAGCGUGCGUAGGCGGUUCGUUAAGUCUGUUGUGAAAGCCCCGGGCUCAACCUGGGAAUGGCAAUGGAUACUGGCGAGCUAGAGUGUGUCAGAGGAUGGUGGAAUUCCCGGUGUAGCGGUGAAAUGCGUAGAGAUCGGGAGGAACAUUAGUGGCGAAGGCGGCCAUCUGGGACAACACUGACGCUGAGGCACGGAAGCGUGGGGAACAAACAGGAUUAGAUACCCCAGUAGUCCCUGUCUCUUAUAC